This is a long non-coding RNA of Homo sapiens (human), 4474 nucleotides long. Ensembl annotates it as testis expressed transcript, Y-linked 10. Its record names the gene TTTY10. The record is from Ensembl. Lineage: Eukaryota; Metazoa; Chordata; Mammalia; Primates; Hominidae.
GCUCUUGUUGCCCAUGCUGGAGUGCAGGGGCGCGAUCUGCCCGUCUAAUUUUUGUAUUUUUAGUAGAGAUGGGGUUUCACCAUGUUGGCCAGGCUCUCAAACCCCUGACCUAGUGAUCCUCCCGCCUCUGCCGCCCAAAUUCCUGGGAUUGCAGUAGUGAGCCACCGCGCCCGGCCUAUUUUUUUCAGUCUUAUCUUCUCUACCUCACCACCUCACAGUAAAGCAUAUACAUAAGAUAUUUUGCCUGCUAUGAAGCCAUUGGAGAAUCAGGUCCAGCUGUGUCCUACAGAUUUAUACCCUCACUUUGGAUGCACUGUGAAUCUUGAAACAAGUAUGUAAAUAGAAUCCAGCCCCUCUCUGCCACAGCCUCAGAGCAGGAUUGGUAACUCCAAAAGACACCAGGACACAUCCUAAUUUUCUUAAAUUUUAUUUAUUUGUUUAUUUAUUUAUUAUUAUUAUACUUUAAGUUUUAGGGUACAUGUGCACAAUGUGCAGGUUAGUUACAUAUGUAUACAUGUGCCAUGCUGGUGUGCUGCACCCACUGACUCGUCAUCUAGCAUUAGGUAUAUCUCACAAUGCUAUCCCUCCCCUCUUCCCCCCACCCCACAACAGUCCCCAGAGUGUGAUGUUCCCUUUCCUGUGUCCAUGUGUUCUCAUUGUUCAAUUCCCACCUAUGAGUGAGAAUAUGCGCUGUUUGGUUUUUUGUUCUUGCGAUAGUUUACUGAGAAUGAUGAUUUCCAAUUUCAUCCAUGUCCCUACAAAGGACAUGAACUCAUCAUUUUUUAUGGCUGCAUAGUAUUCCAUGGUGUAUAUGUGCCACAUUUUCUUAAUUCAGUCUAUCAUUGUUGGACAUUUGGGUUGGUUCCAAGUCUUUGCUAUUGUGAAUAAUGCCGCAAUAAACAUACGUGUGCAUGUGUCUUUAUAGCAGCAUGAUUUAUAUCCUUUGGGUAUAUACCCAGUAAUAGGAUGGCUGGGUCAAAUAGUAUUUCUACUUCUAGAUCCCUGAGAAAUCGCCACACUGACUUCCACAAUGGUUGAACCAGUUUACAGUCCCACUAACAGUGUAAAAGUGUUCCUAUUUCUCCACAUCCUCUCCAGCACCUGUUGUUUCCUGACUUUUUGAUGAUUGCCAUUCUAACUGGUGUGAAAUGGUAUCUCAUUGUGGCUUUGAUUUGCAUUUCUCUGAUGGCCAGUGAUGGUGAGCAUUUUUUCAUGUGUUUUUUGACUGCAUAAAUGUCUUCUUUUGAGAAGUGUCUGUUCAUGUCCUUUGACCACUUUUUGAUGGGGUUGUUUGUUUUUUUCUUGUAAAUUUGUUUGAGUUCAUUGUAGAUUCUAGAUAUUAGCCCUUUGUGAGAUGAGUAGGUUGCGAAAAUUUUCUCCCAUUUUGUAGGUUGCCUUUUCACUCUGAUUGUAGUUUCUUUUGCUGUGCAGAAGCUCUUUAGUUUACUUAGAUCCCAUUUUUCAAUUUUGGCUUUUGUUGCCAUUGCUUUUUGUGUUUUAGGCAUGAAGUCCUUGCCCAUGCCUAUGUCCUGAAUGGUAAUGCCUAGGUUUUCUUCUAGGGUUUUUAUGAUUUUAGGUCUAACAUUUAAGUCUUUAAUCCAUCUUGAACUGAUUUUUGUAAAAGGUGUAAGGAAGGGAUCCAGUUUCAGCUUUCUACAUAUGGCUAGCCAGUUUUCCCAGCACCAAUUAUUAAAUAGGGAAUCCUUUCCCCAUUGCUUGUUUUUCUCAGGUUUGUCAAAGAUCAGAUAGUCGUAGAUAUGUGGCAUUAUUUCUGAGGGCUCUAUUCUGUUCCAUUGAUCUACAUCUCUGUUUUGGUACCAGUACCAUGCUGUUUUGGUUACUGUAGCCUUGUAGUAUAGUUUGAAGUCAGGUAGUGUGAUGCCUCCAGCUUUGUUCUUUUGGCUCAGGAUUGACUUGGCAAUGCGGGCUCUUUUUUGGUUCCAUAUGAACUUUAAAGUAGUUUUUUUCCAGUUCUGUGAAGAAAGUCAUUAGUAGCUUGAUGGGGAUGGCAUUGAAUCUGUAAAUUACUUUGGGCAGUAUGGCCAUUUUGACGAUAUUGAUUCUUCUUACCCAUGAGCAUGGAAUGUUCUUCCAUUUGUUUGUAUCCUUUUUUAUUUCCUUGAGCAGUGGUUUGUAGUUCUCCUUGAGGUCCUUCACAUCCCUUGUAAGUUGGAUUCCUAGGUAUUUUAUUCUCUUUGAAGCAAUUGUGAAUGGGAGUUCACUCAUGAUUUGGCUGUUUGUCUGUUGUUGGUGUAUAAGAAUGCUUGUAAUUUUUGUACAUUGAUUUUGUAUCCUGAGACUUUGCUGAAGUUGCUUAUCAGCUUAAGGAGAUUUUGGGCUGAGACAAUGGGGUUUUCUACAUAUACAAUCAUGUCGUCUGCAAACAGGGACAAUUUGACUUCCUCUUUUCCUAAUUGAAUACCCUUUAUUUCCUUCUCCUGCCUAAUUGCCCUGGCCAGAACUUCCAACACUAUGUUGAAUAGGAGUGGUGAGAGAGGGCAUCCCUGUCUUGUGCCAGUUUUCAAAGGGAAUGUUUCCAGUUUUUGCCCAUUCAGUAUGAUAUUGGCUGUGGGUUUGUCAUAGAUAGCUCUUAUUAUUUUGAGAUACAUCCCAUCAAUACCUAAUUUAUUGAGAGUUUUUAGCAUGAAGAGUUGUUGAAUUUUGUCAAAGGCCUUCACCACACCUAUUCCAAAAUUGACCACAUAGUUGGAAGUAAAGCUCUCCUCAGCAAAUGUAAAAGAACACAAAUUAUAACAAACUAUCUCUCAGACCACAGUGCAAUCAAACUAGAACUCAGGAUUAAGAAUCUCACUCAAAACCACUCAACUACAUGGAAACUGAACAACCUGCUCCUGAAUGACUACUGGGUACAUAAUGAAAUGAAGGCAGAAAUAAAAAUGUUCUUUGAACCGAUGAGAACAAAGACACAACAUACCAGAAUCUCUGGGACACAUUCAAAUCAGUGUGUAGAGGGAAAUUUAUAGCACUAAAUGCCCACAAGAGAAAGCAGGAAAGAUCCAAAAUUGACACCCUAACAUCACAAUUAAAAGAACUAGAAAAGCAAGAGCAAACACAUUCAAAAGCUAGCAGAAGGCAAGAAAUAACUAAAAUCAGAGCAGAACUGAAGGAAAUAGAGACACAAAAAACCCCUCAAAAAAUUAACGAAUCCAGGAGCUGGUUUGUUGCAAGGAUCAACAAAAUUGAUAGACUGCUAGCAAGACUAAUAAAGAAGAAAAGAGAGAAGAAUCAAAUAGAUGCAAUAAAAAAUGAUAAAGGGGAUAUCACCACCGAUCCCACAGAGAAACAAACUACCAUCAGAGAAUACUACAAACACCUCUAUGCAAAUAAACUAGAAAAUCUAGAAGAAAUGGAUAAAUUCCUCGACACAUACACUCUCCCAGGACUAAACCAGGAAGAAGUUGAAUCUCUAAAUAGACCAAUAACAGGAGCGGAAUUGUGGCAAUAAUCAAUUACUUACCAACCAAAAAGAGUCCAGGACCAGAUGGAUUCACAGCCGAAUUCUACCAGAGGUACAAGGAGGAACUGGUACCAUUCCUUCUGAAACUAUUCCAAUCAAUAGAAAAACAGGGAAUCCUCCCUAACUCAUUUUGUGAGGCCAGCAUCAUCCUGAUACCAAAGCUGGGCAGAGACACAGCCAAAAAAGCGUAUUUUAGACCAAUAUCCUUGAUGAACAUUGAUGCAAAAAUCCUCAAUAAAAUACUUGCAAACCGAAUCCAGCAGCACAUCAAAAAGCUUAUCCACCAUGAUCAAGUGGGCUUCAUCCCUGGGAUGCAAGGCUGGUUCAAUAUAUGCAAAUCAAUAAAUGUAAUCCAGCAUUUAAACAGAACCAAAGAUAAAAACCACAUGAUUAUCUCAAUAGAUAUCCUAAUUUUGAUGCCAGAAGAAGGUUUAGAUAUCUUAGUCUUUGAUGACAUAACAUUGUAUGUCAAUUCUAGCAUGGCUCAGUAAAAGAAUGAGGCAAUAUGAAAGGCCCAGGGACCUGUCUGUACAUAAGAGUAGUUCUCCCAACUAUCAUAGAUAGCCACACCUUUCAGCACAAAUGCUGAAAACCCCACUGUUUGCAAGUCAUGAAGAAAAUAUUUGUCUUAGUGCCAGCCCCCAAAGUCCAUGACCUUGGAGACGAACAGAUCUCCCCAGGAUACAGAUAGAACUCCAGUCUACUAGUUCUCCUGGUAACUGGACUGUAAAAUUCAGUUUUUAUUGUGCACCAAGUUUAGCCAGGAGACCUACUUAGAACUCACAAAACUGUAAUCCCAAAGGCAAUAUCUUCAGCACAAAAGCCUAAUAGAGAAAAACUUCAAACCUAAACCAGUCUGUAAGACUCAAUGCAAACAUAUAAUCAGAUAAAGAAUAUUAAUAAAACUAAUAAAGAAUAUUAAUACAUCUUUUAAAAAAUUACAAAAAUGAAUUUCCUGAAACAGAAUUAAACAUGAUUAUUAUAAAACACUCCUUA